GAGACGGAGUCUUGCUCUGUUGCCCAGGCUGGAUGGAGUGCAGUGGCACGAUCUCGGCUCACUGCAAGCUCUGCCUCCUGGGUUCAACCGAUUUUCUGGCCUCAGCCUCCCGAGUAGCUGGGACUACAGGCACCCGCCACCAUGCCCGACUAAUUUUUGUAUUUUUAGUAGAGACAGGAAUUCACAAUAUUGGCCAGGCACUUUGGGACACUGAUUCGGGCAGAUCUUGCAGUCAGGGGAUAGAGACUAUGCUGGUUAACAUGGUGAAACCCUGUCUCUACUAAAAAUACAAAAAAUUAGCCGGGCAUGGUGGUGGGCACCUGUAGUCCCAGCUACUCGGGAGGCUGAGGCCGGAGAAUGGCGUGAACCCAGGAGGCGGGGUUUGUAGUGAGCCGAGAUCACACCACUGCACUCCACCCUGGCCAACAGAGCGAGACACCAUCUCAAAAAAAAAAAAAACAAAAAAAGCCCACACCCCCUUCUGAACAGCGAUAUCCAAGGUCACGUAAAGCCCAAGGCAGCUGCCUGAGUCCAUCAGACAACCUCGCUCUCAUUAAAUAUAUAUCAUUCUUUAUACUGUACAGACACAUGCCCAUGGCCACCCCCACCAGAGUUUCCCCAACCUUCAGCCCCUCUCUGGCAUCCCCAGAAGUAAAAGUUUAUUUUUGGGGGAUUUUUUUGAGACAUAGUCUAGCUCUGCCACCCAGGCUGGAGUGCAGGAACACAAUCAUGGCUCACUGCAGCCUCCGCCUCCCAGGUUCAAGUGAUUCUUGUGCCUCAGCCUCCCAAGUAGCUGGGAUUACAGCCAUGUACCACUACACUCGGCUAAUUUUUUUUUUUUGAGACGGAGUCUUGCUGUGUCCCCCAGGCUGGAGGGCAGUAGCAUGAUCUCAGCUCAGUGCAAGCUCUGCCUCCCAGGUUCAGGCCAUUCUCCUGCCUCAGCCUCCCGAGUAGCUGGGACUACAGGUGCCCACCACCACAGCUGGCUAAUUUUUUGUAUUUUUUUUUUUUUAGUAGAGACGGGGUUUCACUGUGUUAGCCAGGAUGGUCUCGAUCUCCAUACUUCCUGAUCCACCCACCUCAGCAUCCCAAAGUGCUGGGAUUCCAGGCUUGAGCCACCAUGCCUGGCCUGUAUUUUUUUUUUUUAGUAGAGACGGGGUUUCACCAUGUUGGCCAGGCUGGUCUUGAAUUUCUGGUCUCAAGUGAUCCACCAGCCUUGGCCUCUGAAAGUGAGGAGAUUAUAGGGGUGAGCCACCACACCCAGCGCCUACAAAUAAAAUUAUUUCACAA
RNAcentral lists this long non-coding RNA (1290 nucleotides) under Homo sapiens (human). Its description in RNAcentral is "long non-coding RNA NONHSAT180618.1". Lineage: Eukaryota; Metazoa; Chordata; Mammalia; Primates; Hominidae. The record is from RNAcentral.